GAGGGGGGAGAGAGAGCGGGACAGAGAGAGAAAGCGAGAGGAGAGAGAGAGGGAGGAGAGAGAGGGGGGCGAGAGAGAGAGAGAGUGAGGGAGGAAGUAACAGAGAAUUCCAGUUAAGACCAGUUAUGCGCGGGGUAUUGUAAAUCCCAGAGAGAUGGCGUAACCCUGUGACCUCUUGGCCAUGAACUUCCUGCGCCGGCGGACUCGGGAGAGGCUUCCCCCGCCACACCCCCAUUAUCUAGUCAUCUCUCGGCGGCCUCCCCGCCGCUCCGCCUCGCUUAUACAGCCAGGAGCAGGGAAGAGCCCCGACACAGCGGCUGCCCGCACGUCAUCCCACACAGCCUGCGACGCCAACUACAAGGGCCGGGGGAGAAACAGCCCCCCUUGUUUUGCUGCAAUCGACCACCAUGUUUGUAGAAGAAGACAGGAGUCGACCAUCCUGCAAGAGUCUUAAGAACACGAAUAAGAACAAGAACACGAGCUGGGCUCCUUCAUGCUGUAUCCGGCCAAUUACCCCACUCUUCUGAGCCGUCCCGGUCACUGCUCCACCCCCUCUGCUGAUCCGGGGAGGGCUGCAGACUACCACAUGCCUCCUCCCAUACAUGUGGAGUCGCCAGGCGCUUCUUUUCACCUGACAGUGAGGAGUUUCACCAGGGGGACGUAGCGCGUGGGAGGAUCACGCUAUUCCCCCCUGAACAGGCGCCCCGACCGACCAGAGGAGGCGCUAGUGCAGCGACCAGGACACAUACCCACAUCCCGCUUCCCACCCGCAGACACGGCCAAUUGUGUCUGUAGGGACGCCCGACCAAGCCGGAGGUAACAUGGGGAUUCGAACCGACGAUCUCCAUGUUGGUAGGCAAUAGAGUAGACCGCUAUGCUACCCGGACGCCACACAUUACUUUUCUGAUGGUGACCAGACACAACAGCGGAUGGAUUAAAAUCUCAUCCCGCAACAUGAGGUAGAUGUGUUAUGCAGAGGUUUGUUGUACCUGCAGGCUGUCCCAUUCUUGAUCCAGAGCGUGGAGGUUGGAUCUGUCGCCCCUCAUGUUCU
Molecule: long non-coding RNA, 1051 nt
Organism: Lampris incognitus (smalleye Pacific opah)
Lineage: Eukaryota; Metazoa; Chordata; Actinopteri; Lampriformes; Lampridae
Exons: 3
Source: RefSeq, a predicted model, not a curated record